UGUCCCAGUAGCUCAGCUGGAUAGAGCAACGGCCUUCUAAGCCGUGGGUCAUGGGUUCGAAUCCCUUCUGGGACAU
This 76-nucleotide transfer RNA is filed under the name Sporolactobacillus inulinus. Its description in RNAcentral is "tRNA-Arg". It matches the Rfam family "tRNA". From Rfam's summary of the family: Transfer RNA (tRNA) molecules are approximately 80 nucleotides in length. Their secondary structure includes four short double-helical elements and three loops (D, anti-codon, and T loops). RNAcentral also lists the same sequence under 2 other names. The record is from RNAcentral. Lineage: Bacteria; Bacillati; Bacillota; Bacilli; Caryophanales; Sporolactobacillaceae.